RNAcentral lists this microRNA (23 nucleotides) under Lepisosteus oculatus (spotted gar). Its description in RNAcentral is "Loc-Mir-147-v1_5p (mature (guide))". Lineage: Eukaryota; Metazoa; Chordata; Actinopteri; Semionotiformes; Lepisosteidae. The record is from RNAcentral.
ACGGAAUCAUUUCUGCACAGACU